RNAcentral lists this long non-coding RNA (761 nucleotides) under Homo sapiens (human). RNAcentral's name for it is "HSALNT0151377". The record is from RNAcentral. Lineage: Eukaryota; Metazoa; Chordata; Mammalia; Primates; Hominidae.
UUCCAUCUUCCACUCCUAGCCAGAGUGUACUCCCACUUAAUAAAAAAAGUUAACUGUGAAACAGCCUCAGGCAGGCCCUUCAGGAGGUGUUCCAGCAGAAGAGAUUGUUAUCACAGGAGAUGACAGCUCCAUGCGUGUUACUGCCCCGGAAGGCCUUCCAGUGGGACAAGAUGUGGAGGUGGAAGACAGUGAUAUUGGUGAUCCUGACCCUGAGGAGGCCUCAGCUAAUGUGUAUGUGUAUUAGUCCAUUUUCAUGCUGCUGAUAAAGACAUACCCGAGACUGGGCAAUUUACAAAAGAAAGAGGUUUAAUGGACUUACAGUUUCACGUGGCUGGGGAGGCCUCACAAGCAUAGCGGAAGUUGAAAGGCACCUCUCACAUGGCGGCAGACAAGAGAAGAGAGCUUGUGCAGGGAGAAUCUCGUUUUUAAAACCCUCAGAUCUCGUGAGACUCACUCACUAUCACCAGAACAGCACAGGAAAGACCUGCCCCCAUGAUUCAAUUGCCUCCCACUGGGUUCCUCCCACAACACGUGGGAAUUCAAAAUGAGAUUUGGAUGGGGACACAGCCAAGCCAUAUUAAUAUGUUCAUGUCUUAGUUUUUAAUUAAAAAGUUUAAAAAGUAAAAAAUAAAUAAAAAUAGAAAAAAGCUUAUAGAAUAAAAACAUAAAGAAAAAAUAUUUUUGUACAGCUGAACAAUGUGUGUUUUAAUCUAAGUGUUUUUUUUUUCUUUUUUAUGAGACUGAGUCUCACUUGGUCACCC